Molecule: ribosomal RNA, 319 nt
Filed under: uncultured eukaryote
Lineage: Eukaryota
Description: partial 18S ribosomal RNA
Rfam family: Eukaryotic small subunit ribosomal RNA
Source: RNAcentral
CCCUUAGAUGUUCUGGGCCGCACGCGUGCUACACUGAGUGGAUCAGCGGGUCAGGUUGCGCGAAAGCGUUUCCUAAUCUUUAAAUCCGCUCGUGAUGGGGAUUGACGGUUGCAAUUUUCUGUCAUGAACGAGGAAUACCUUGUAAGCGCGGGUCAUCAUCCCGCGCUGAAUACGUCCCUGCCCUUUGUACACACCGCCCGUCGCUCCUACCGAUUGAAUGUUCCGGUGAAUUCUUCGGAGUCUGCGGUAUCAAUGUUUCAUUAUACCAUAGGCGAAGUUGCGUAAACCUUAACAUUUAGAGGAAGGAGAAGUCGUAACA